UGAGGGAUAUUGGGGCAAUGGGGGAAACCCUGACCCAGCGACGCCGCGUGAGGGAAGACGGUCUUCGGAUUGUAAACCUCUGUCUUUGGGGACGAAAAAGGACGGUACCCAAGGAGGAAGCUCCGGCUAACUACGUGCCAGCAGCCGCGGUAAUACGUAGGGAGCGAGCGUUGUCCGGAAUUACUGGGUGUAAAGGGAGCGUAGGCGGGAAGGCAGGUUGGAUGUGAAAACUGUGGGCUCAACCGACAGACUGCAUUCAAAACUGUUUUUCUUGAGUGAAGUAGAGGCAAGCGGAAUUCCUAGUGUAGCGGUGAAAUGCGUAGAUAUUAGGAGGAACACCAGUGGCGAAGGCGGCUUGCUGGGCUUUUACUGACGCUGAGGCUCGAAAGUGUGGGGAGCAAACAGGAUUAGAUACC
Molecule: ribosomal RNA, 416 nt
Filed under: uncultured bacterium
Lineage: Bacteria
Description: bacterial SSU rRNA
Rfam family: Bacterial small subunit ribosomal RNA
Source: RNAcentral